RNAcentral lists this ribosomal RNA (697 nucleotides) under Phlebia tremellosa. RNAcentral describes it as "eukaryotic LSU rRNA". The stretch from base 277 to 430 matches the Rfam family "5.8S ribosomal RNA". Lineage: Eukaryota; Fungi; Basidiomycota; Agaricomycetes; Polyporales; Meruliaceae. The record is from RNAcentral.
GUCGUAACAAGGUUUCCGUAGGUGAACCUGCGGAAGGAUCAUUAUCGAGUUUUUGAAACGGGUUGUCGCUGGUCCCRYUCUUAACAGAGUCGGGACAUGUGCACACCUGGCUUCAUUCCACUCUUCAACCCCUGUGCACUUGUUGUAGGUUUCAGGUCGGACGCGGGGCUUUYGACUUCAUCGUCGAGAGCYUCAAGGAAAGCCUGAGCCUAUGUUUUACYACACACACGCUUCAGUUAUAGAAUGUAAACAUCGCGUAUAACGCAUUUUAAAUACAACUUUCAGCAACGGAUCUCUUGGCUCUCGCAUCGAUGAAGAACGCAGCGAAAUGCGAUAAGUAAUGUGAAUUGCAGAAUUCAGUGAAUCAUCGAAUCUUUGAACGCACCUUGCGCUCCUUGGUAUUCCGAGGAGCAUGCCUGUUUGAGUGUCAUGGAAUUCUCAACCUUUGAAAGCUUUUAUCGGUUCUCAAAGGCUUGGACUUGGAGGUCGUGUCGGCUCUGCAAAGAAUAUCGACUCCUCUGAAACGUAUCAGUGCGAACCUUUACGGAUCGUCUUCGGUGUGAUAAACGUCUACGCCGUGGUCGUGAAGUAUGAUCGUGUCCGUGCUUCUAACCGUCUCCUUUGCGAGACAAAAACUGUGUUACUUACUAUAAGUAACAUAGGCAUUGACAAUCUGACCUCAAAUCAGGUAGGACUA